GACGAACGCUGGCGGCGUGCUUAACACAUGCAAGUCGAACGGAAAGGCCCUGCUUUUGUGGGGUGCUCGAGUGGCGAACGGGUGAGUAACACGUGAGUAACCUGCCCUUGACUUUGGGAUAACUUCAGGAAACUGGGGCUAAUACCGGAUAGGAGCUCCUGCUGCAUGGUGGGGGUUGGAAAGUUUCGGCGGUUGGGGAUGGACUCGCGGCUUAUCAGCUUGUUGGUGGGGUAGUGGCUUACCAAGGCUUUGACGGGUAGCCGGCCUGAGAGGGUGACCGGACACAUUGGGACUGAGAUACGGACCAGACUCCUACGGGAGGCAGCAGUGGGGAAUAUUGCACAAUGGGCGGAAGCCUGAUGCAGCAACGCUGCGUGCGGGAUGACGGCCUACGGGUUGUAAACCGCUUUCGCCUGUGACGAAGCGUGAGUGACGGUAAUGGGUAAAGAAGCACCGGCUAACUACGUG
Molecule: ribosomal RNA, 468 nt
Filed under: uncultured bacterium
Lineage: Bacteria
Description: partial 16S ribosomal RNA
Rfam family: Bacterial small subunit ribosomal RNA
Source: RNAcentral